CCUUUUAAACAACCCAAAGCAUCUCUUUAUAACAUUCCUAGCCAGGAGUGCUUUAUGUUCAAAAACUCAUGAGCACUUGUGGGUUGUUGACCUUAUCUCUACUCAUUCAAAUGGUAUCUUUGUCCUCUCGAAGGAGCCAAAAAGCCUUUAGCAUUGGUAUAUCCGGCAUCACAUAGAUAGUGGUUACCUAUAUAUAAUAGAUUGUAGUAUUUACUUUCAAAAUAAAUAGCAAAUCAAUUUGGAUGAGAUUUUGGGUAUUCUAUUUAUCAUUUUUUAAACUUACCUUGAGGUACCUUUAAGCC
RNAcentral lists this long non-coding RNA (302 nucleotides) under Elaeis guineensis (African oil palm). Its description in RNAcentral is "long non-coding RNA (EGUI_LNC018197)". Lineage: Eukaryota; Viridiplantae; Streptophyta; Magnoliopsida; Arecales; Arecaceae. The record is from RNAcentral.